CUUUACUAUAACUUGGCCCUGAAACCCGAACGAAUCUGUGUAGCAUAGGUGGGAGACUUUGAAGCAUCGGCGCUAGCCGGAGUGGAGUCACCAUUGAAAUACCACCCUGAUUCUUUUGUGUUUCUAACCUAGUCCCAUUAUCUGGGACAGGAACACGGUCUGGUGGGUAGUUUGACUGGGGCGGUCGCCUCCCAAAUUGUAACGGAGGCGCACAAAGGUUCCCUCAGCCUGGACGGAAAUCAGGCGAAGAGUGUAUAGGCACAAAGGGAGCUUGACUGUGAGACCUACAAGUCGAGCAGGUGCGAAAGCAGGUCUAAGUGAUCCGGCGGUUCCGAAUGGAAGGGCCGUCGCUCAACGGAUAAAAGGUA
Molecule: ribosomal RNA, 368 nt
Filed under: uncultured organism
Description: bacterial LSU rRNA
Rfam family: Bacterial large subunit ribosomal RNA
Source: RNAcentral